AAGACUUUUAUUACUUGGUGGAGAACGCAGGUCUUACUGCGUUCGUUGCAGAUAAGUGCUCACAAUACCUCCUCCUCACCAAUAUUUUCGUUCAAAGCUUCAACUUUUGUCCGAGGAAGAAUCCUCCGAUGGUUGAGUUCAUGAUAUACGAUGUUCCCCAGUGCAUGACACUACAGGAUUUUUGCAAUGUAUGCAAAUUACCUUAUGUUGGGGAUAUCCGUGACCCUCGUCCACGGGACUUGGAGGAUUUCAUUGGUACUAUUGCUGUUGGAGAGGAGAGAGGAGUGUCUC
This 291-nucleotide long non-coding RNA is filed under the name Hordeum vulgare. RNAcentral's name for it is "long non-coding RNA (HVUL_LNC018897)". Lineage: Eukaryota; Viridiplantae; Streptophyta; Magnoliopsida; Poales; Poaceae. The record is from RNAcentral.